CAAACAAAAGUAACCACAUGGACCGACCUCUGGAGACAUUAUUAUGAUUCAGCAGAUAUGAAUGUGUGCAAACUAUAUACUAUAAAACAUACUCCUUCUGCACACAGCCAAAGGACACAGUUUUACUACCCAAGACUAUUAUUUCAAUGUGUAUACGACUUUUAACCCGUUGUGUACUAUUCAAUAAUUGAAACUUUCAAACCAUGCAUAUAAUUAAUGCAGCAGAUUUCAUUGGUGAUCAGCUCUUACAAAAAGCUGAACAUCCUUAUUGGAAUUUUAAAAACUUCCUGCAUUUGAAUAUAAAGAUGGUACAAAUUAAGCCCAAGUGUAAUGCACCCAAAUUUUAUUAAUUUCUUAUUACUUUGCAGAUAUAUGCACACGUAUACCUGCAGCAUGUAUAGUAAUAGUAAAAACAAUUAUAUAUCCCUUCUCCUCACAAGAUUAAUAUUUAAACAAAUUUAAAAUUUUGUAUUGAUUCAUAUUUGUGGAAAACGAGAUCAAUUUAAUUAAUUGCUAAAAAUUCAUCCAAUUUCUAACAUGUAUUCGGGCUAAAAAAAUCGUAUAUUAUGACAAACCCUAGGAAUCAAUCAGAUGUAACCGCGUUGAAAUAUUUGCAAGGGAAAAUAAGUGCAGCUAUAUUCGUGACAAAGUUUUCCAACUUGCAUAUGUAUCAAUUGGUAAUACACUGUUUGUUGGCAUCUCAUAAAUAAUUCAUGUCGUACUAUCAUUCAUAUCCAAAUCAUUUAGUUGCUCAAAUAAUGCACAAGUCAAUUCCAAAAAUAUCCACAAUCGUGCAUGGUCGGCUUAAUUAUUAGUAGUUUUGAUACGUUCUUAAUUUCUAUCUAUCUAUGUUAAUAAUUAAUUUUCACUGCGAAACAAUUGUCUUAUUUUACUUUCUUAUACGACACUCAAAGGUUUUUUAUAUAUCCAAAAUAUCGUACGUGUCCAUAUAUCAUUGCUAUUUAAUGAUUAGUUAACUUUCAAUAUUAUACUUGUAAUUAUAUAUGAAUAUUAUAAAAGAAGGUGAACAUGUUAUAUCUUACAGACAUUUUCCUGUUUUUAGUUUUUCUAACAAGUAUUUUAAAUUGUUUCUAAUUUCUGAAACAACUCUGUAAAAUUCAGAUAAAUGACUACAUGUCGAAAUACUUUGGUUAGAUGAUUUGUCAAUCAAGAUGAGUUAAUACUAUUAUGCCCAAUUAAAAAAAUUUCACGCUUCUGCUUCUGCUUCAGCCUCUUCUUAGUCUCUCCUUCCUCCCCGACGAUGUCGUCGACGUCGAAGAGGAGCGAGGCAUCCGACGGCGGCUGGAGGCGCCUCUUCCGCCACGCGGCCACGAAGACGGAGGCGAUCUGCGUGAGCGGGCUGCCGACCAGCUUCUUGAAACGGUAGCGUUUUGUCCCGGACAAGAAGACGAGGAGGCCGACGAGGAUGGCGCAGGCGCAGAUGCCGUAGCCCCACUCGCGGCCGAGGUGAUCCUGAAUGUAGACGAGCACGGUGACGGCGGCGAGGGCGCCGAUGCUGAUGAAGAAGAAGAACCAGUUGAAGAACUUUAUCAUCUGCUUCUUCUCCUUGGCGUCGGACUCGUCGAACUGGUCGGAGCCGAACCCGGACACGCUGGACUUCAGGCCGCCGGUGCCGAGGGCGGUCAGGUAGAGAGCGGCGUAGAGGACCAGCAUCUGCUUGCUGCUUGCCGGAAUACAUGACGGGCUUCCGGCGGCGCACUUCGGCGGCCGGAGGCUCGGGAUUAUGGUUGAGAUUGUCAAGAUCGUUACACCCUGGAUCCAGUUAUUGUGAUUCUAAAUUAGUCAAGCACCACCACCCCAAUUAUUUGGAAAUAUUGUUCAUCUCUCACCCAAUUGGCAACACCAUUUCUGUAACCAUUAAAUUGGGAGUUCCAAUCAUUAUUUAUUGUCUUUUCUUUAAA
Molecule: long non-coding RNA, 1922 nt
Organism: Salvia miltiorrhiza (redroot sage)
Lineage: Eukaryota; Viridiplantae; Streptophyta; Magnoliopsida; Lamiales; Lamiaceae
Exons: 2
Source: RefSeq, a predicted model, not a curated record